GAUGAACGCUGGCGGCGUGCUUAACACAUGCAAGUCGAACGGAAACUUAUUGAAACCUAGUGAUAUAAGUUUUAGUGGCGGACGGGUGAGUAACGCGUGGGUAACCUGCCUUAUCCAGGGGGAUAACAGUGAGAAAUUACUGCUAAUACCGCAUAAGCGCACGGUAUCGCAUGAUACAGUGUGAAAAGAUUUAUCGGGAUAAGAUGGACCCGCGUCUGAUUAGCUAGUUGGUGAGGUAACGGCCCACCAAGGCGACGAUCAGUAGCCGGCCUGAGAGGGUGAACGGCCACAUUGGGACUGAGACACGGCCCAAACUCC
This 318-nucleotide ribosomal RNA is filed under the name uncultured Lachnospiraceae bacterium. RNAcentral describes it as "bacterial SSU rRNA". It matches the Rfam family "Bacterial small subunit ribosomal RNA", at positions 28 to 339 of the family's 1533-position model. Lineage: Bacteria; Bacillati; Bacillota; Clostridia; Lachnospirales; Lachnospiraceae. The record is from RNAcentral.